UGGACAUUCGUGUUCUUUUUCAUUCACUCAAGCCAAUACUCCAUGUACAUGAGACAAGAAUUGUACAAACCCUAAUAUUUCUUUAAACCAAAUAUAGUUAAAGUCUUUUUAUGUUUAUUAUCCGUAAUACAACAUUUUCCCUAUAUGGCCUUAGGAUGAAGUAUGAAAAAAGAAGUGGCAACGUCAUCCUUUACACUUUACAGCCUGAUUACAUCAUCGCUUUGAUUGAUCUUGUAACAAGCUCAGUGGCUGUAAAGCACAAUGACAAGUAAGCAAAACAAGAUUUUAAACUAAAGAGAGGCAUGCGUUGCAGUUGAUCAAGACACGAUCAGAAUGACAAGAAGUUCUGAUGGAUCUCAAAAUCCACUUCAGAAAUUAGGUUUAGGGUUUCGUUACCUGUACAAGAAGGAAUGUAGACUAUGUAUCGAUGAUUCUGUAUAAAGAAGUGUUUUAUUGAUGAUACGAGCAGAAAACAAGUACGAAUACAAAAGAUAUCUAAGAACAAAAAAGUAUGUAUGUAUUGAAAGUAUAGUAUUACUCUAUGAGAAUUCAGUCCUUCUUCUUGUCUUUGGUCUUGUUUUUAUAGGCCUUCAAGGUUGAAUCAUAAUGGCCUCGUAAUCUAUGGCUGUUAUCAUGGCCAUUAAUGAUGUUGCUUUUGAUUCUCUUUCAGCUCAGGUUUGAUUAUGUGAUUUUUUUUAAUGUUACGUUUAAAAUUUUAUCUGUCGGUAACCUUC
Molecule: long non-coding RNA, 734 nt
Filed under: Brassica napus (rape)
Lineage: Eukaryota; Viridiplantae; Streptophyta; Magnoliopsida; Brassicales; Brassicaceae
Description: long non-coding RNA (BNAP_LNC002267)
Source: RNAcentral